GCCCCACCCACCUAGAGGAGCCUGUUCUAUAAUCGAUAACCCCCGCUUAACCUCACCACUUCUUGCCAAUACCGCCUAUAUACCACCGUCGCCAGCCCACCCCGUGAGGGAAAUAGUAGGCACAAUGAUAAGUCACCAAAACGUCAGGUCAAGGUGUAGCGUAUGAAGUGGAAAGAAAUGGGCUACAUUCUCUAACCUAGAGCACACGAAAAAUCAUAUGAAAUUAGAUUGGAAGGAGGAUUUAGUAGUAAAAAGAAACAAUAGUGUUCUUUUUAAGUUGGCCCUGGGGCGCGCACACACCGCCCGUCACCCUCUUCAACUAAUAAAACACGAUUUAUAAAACACAAAACAAACACAAGAAGAGGUAAGUCGUAACAUGGUAAGUAUACCGGAAGGUGUGCUUGGAAUUAC
This 411-nucleotide ribosomal RNA is filed under the name Bombina orientalis. Its description in RNAcentral is "partial 12S ribosomal RNA". It matches the Rfam family "Bacterial small subunit ribosomal RNA", at positions 918 to 1533 of the family's 1533-position model. Lineage: Eukaryota; Metazoa; Chordata; Amphibia; Anura; Bombinatoridae. The record is from RNAcentral.